Molecule: ribosomal RNA, 253 nt
Filed under: uncultured bacterium
Lineage: Bacteria
Description: partial 16S ribosomal RNA
Rfam family: Bacterial small subunit ribosomal RNA
Source: RNAcentral
UACGUAGGGUGCGAGCGUUGACCGGAUUUAUUGGGCGUAAAGCGUGCGUAGGCGGGUGUGCAAGUCAGAUGUGAAAUCCCAGGGCUCAACCCUGGAAUAGCAUUUGAAACUGCGAUUCUAGAGUGCGGUCGGAGAAAACAGAAUUCCACAAGUAGCGGUGAAAUGCGUAGAUAUGUGGAAGAAUACCUGUGGCGAAGGCGAUUUUCUAGCUUAGAACUGACGCUGAGGCGCGAAAGCAAGGGGAGCAAACAGG